AAUCAGGGCCCAAUCAGCUGACUGUCAGCUGGGACGGGCUGGCUUAACCCUUCCUGCGCCGCUGCCUACCCGGGAGGGAACGAGGCCCGGCGCAAAGUUUGGUAUUUUAAAGCGAUAGGCAAGUCGAAGAAGCAGAGAUUUAUUUGGAGAGAAAGCUCCUGAAACCGACCCAGCCUUUGGAAGACCAGCCCGUCUGCUUAGAAGUUGGGACUGUUGAUUCCUUCAAUUAAUGAAAUGCAUUUGGUGUUUUUAAUCGUAUUUAUUUUACUUUAUGAGAAGGGGGAGACGCUAGGAGGGUGCAUUAAAAAAAAAAAAAAAUUCUGAAAAGCCUGCAAAAGGAUCGAAGAGUGGAAACUAUUGUUGGAGCGAGUUGGUUUUUACCUCAACAGCGCCACCUUUCGGCAAAGGUUUCUUCCUUGGAAAACAAUAUACAUCACUUAAUGAAAUCUUUGUUUGUUUUGCACAAGAGAUGUAAAAAAUCCAGAUGUUUUCUUCAGUGAGAAUUCCUGGGAAGGUGUACCAGCCUUCUUCUCUUUCUUCACCUGACAAAGACACCCAACACGGCCUCUCAGACCGGAGGUGUUUAAUAUAUAGUUUUGACACGCAUGAACAUGGGAAUGAAAGGGCUCCUUUUGGUUUUAGACAAUAGACAGAGCUAUAAAAUGAUGAUGGAGCCUGUUUUCCCCACUCUUGUCAUUUUAAGUCAAUAGAUUUCCUGGGUUUCUUCCCCCGCCCCCCCACUUUGCCUUUUCAGGGGAUAGGCAUCUCCUUAGAUUUUUGUUUUUCUUCACUUAGGGUCAGCUUUAUGAUUCGUUCUUCUGCUGUCAUCCUUUUUCAUCCUAUUCACAGCCUGUACCGGUGAGGGAAUUUGUCUCAAAAGCAUUCAGCCCUUCAAAGAUUUUUAUUGUGGUGAACUCAGAACUGAUAAACAGAAAAACAGAAACAGAAAAAGGGAACUGAUAUGGGGGCGAUCUUGAUGCGGGUUGUGUCUCUCAUGCAUGAUAACUCAGAGGACAGGCUCCUCGGUAGUGCGGUAGUGCUAACUCUGUGAAGUUUCUUCACCCUCCUUCCUAGCCCUGGAGGCGGGGUGAUUCAUAGCUCCUGUUCCAAAGGCAUUCAGCAGCCAUUCGACCUGGGAAAGAAACAGAGUUUUAGAAAAUACAGGCCAAAUGUAGAGACGCCUGUGAUUACCAGGAUGAGUAUGUCAGUGCAGGUGGCUUCUGAAUUUCUGUUUCUGAGUUUGUUUGGCUGAUGCCUAAGGAAAGGGGUCCCUUACAGCCCUGUUUUAUACCUUAGUUCUUGGUGGCAACGUGGGUGUUGCUGAUCUCUCUGAUGUGUUUUUCUGUGCACUGAAAACACCAGACAUGCUCCGUGACAUCCUCGGAGCAUCUCCCAUCAUAAUGGAGUGUUCCUAACCUGACAAAGAAUAGCAUAUUACCUCCCCAUCUACUCAAAAUAAAAUUAUAGUAAAAUUUA
This is a long non-coding RNA of Homo sapiens (human), 1476 nucleotides long. RefSeq lists it as uncharacterized. The record is from RefSeq and is marked validated. NCBI's taxonomy places the organism in Eukaryota, Metazoa, Chordata, Mammalia, Primates, Hominidae. The transcript has 3 exons.